GGGUGUCACAGUCCAGGUACUCCUGUCUGGGUGACACAGUCCAGGUACUCCUGUCUGGGUGACACAGUCCAGGUACUCCUGUCUGGGUGUCACUGUCCAGGUACUCCUGUCUGGGUGACACAGUCCAGGUACUCCUGUCUGGGUAACACAGUCCAGGUACUCCUGUCUGGGUGACACAGUCCAGGUACUCCUGUCUGGGUGUCACAGUCCAGGUACUCCUGUCUGGGUAACACAGUCCAGGUACUCCUGUCUGGGUAACACAGUCCAGGUACUCCUGUCUGGGUGACACAGUCCAGGUACUCCUGUCUGGGUGACACAGUCCAGGUACUCCUGUCUGGGUAACACAGUCCAUGUACUCCUGUCUGGGUACCAUGGUCCAGGUACUCCUGUCUGGGUGUCACAGUCCAGGUACUCCUGUCUGGGUACCAUGGUCCAGGUACUCCUGUCUGGGUAACACAGUCUAGGUACUCCUGUCUGGGUGUCACAGUCCAGGUACUCCUGUCUGGGUAACACAGUCCAGGUACUCCUGUCUGGGUAACACAGUCCAGGUACUCCUGUCUGGGUGACACAGUCCAGGUACUCCUGUCUGGGUGACACAGUCCAGGUACUCCUGUCUGGGUAACACAGUCCAGGUACUCCUGUCUGGGUACCAUGGUCCAGGUACUCCUGUCUGGGUGUCACAGUCCAGGUACUCCUGUCUGGGUACCAUGGUCCAGGUACUCCUGUCUGGGUACCAUGGUCCAGGUACUCCUGUCUGGGUAACACAGUCUAGGUACUCCUGUCUGGGUAUCACAGUCCAGGUACUCCUGUCUGGGUGUCACAGUCCAGGUACUCCUGUCUGGGUAACACAGUCCAGGUACUCCUGUCUGGGUAACACAGUCCAGGUACUCCUGUCUGGGUAACACAGUCCAGGUACUCCUGUCUGGGUGUCACAGUCCAGGUACUCCUGUCUGGGUGACACAGUCCAGGUACUCCUGUCUGGGUGACACAGUCCAGGUACUCCUGUCUGGGUGACACAGUCCAGGUACUCCUGUCUGGGUAACACAGUCCAGGUACACAGGAUUAAGGUAUGUACGUCUCUAGACAUUGCAGUCCAGAUUUACUGAUGACCAAAACAGGCAUCAGUCUGUCAAAAUGUCUGGUGUAGGGGCCAGAGAAAACUUUGGCUUUACGAUUGAUGUUUUUAAUGCCACAUUCAGAAAUAACUAUGAUAAUCCUGGAACUGUGUUUCAUAAGAAAUUGUAUUGAAGUAAAAAAAAAAUUUAAUAUUUCAUUCCAACUUAUUUAUUUUUUAUUUGAUCAGUAAAUUAAUAGAAAUUAUUUUUAUUUGACUUUAAAUGUGUAAUUUCUAGUCAAAGUAGUCACAGAUUAUUUACAUACCCUGGUACAUUGAAUUGUGUAAUAUUAUGUUGUCUUUUUUGUUUUGUUUUUUAUCAUAUUGAUUUUUUUUUUUCAGUGAUCUCAAAUAAAUUACACAGUCAUUAAAGUAUUUAAUUUACCCACAGGUACUUAAUAUGACAUUGUAUUAAUAAGAUAAUGGUUUUCCUAUUUUACAAUGGUAAUAUUUACCAGAACUGUAUAGUGACACCUUUUAAACUGCUGCAGAAUUUGAGAAUACAAUUCUGUGGUCAAAAGUAUAUUUCAAAGCAUUGAUUCACAGUGUUUGAAAAGUCACAAACAGAAACAGUUCUACAAGCUUAUGAUAGGUUUAAUAUGUUACUUGAAGAAAGCUUUUUGCUGUACAAAAAAAAGUACACAAUUUGGUGAAUUGUUUAGAUCCCAUGUUAUGAUACAAGAAACAUUUUUGAAGGGUUACAAUAUUUGUUUGCUGGCUGUAUUUAUCGCCUUUUAACAGCCAAAACAUUUUGAGGGGGAGAGGGGUCUCAUUGUAGUACAUAGUUGGUAACAAGAUAUUAAUUGAUACAUUUUUACUGUUGUCUGAUGGGGCAUGGAUCACAAUUUAGGUACAAACAUCAUGAAUUGUUGUAGAUUAUGGAUGUUUUAUGCAUUUUAUAUAUAUUUUUUUUUUUUUUUUUUUUAUAGAUUACAUUUUAGAUUUAUUGUGAACGGCAGUACCUUGGGCAUUUCUAUAUACCAUUUAUACAAAACUGUAAUAUUUUUUUUUUAUUUUUUAUGUUAGUACUGAUGGUUACUCACAUGAAAUAUAUAAGAAAGAAAAGAUGGGAGGACUCCAGCAGGAACCACAGAAGAAUUGAUUUUUUCACACAGUACCAUAUAACAGUCUACAUCAUCAAACCCACCAUGUAUACAGUACAAUUUCUUGAAUUCUGGAGUCCUCCCAUGGGGUGUAUACUGUAUGUUACCUGUGAUAGCCCUAAAUCUAUAACGAGAUGACUCUUCUGUAUUAGUAUAGCUAUCUUUUUCUUUAUUUGAUAUGAAUAUGAGGUAUGAUAUAACAUUCAUGAAAUUUUUAACUUCAUGGUUGCAAAAUUAUAAGUUUUUAUUAAAUGUGUACAAGUGUUCGCAUUUCUUUUUCUUUUAUAAUAUAUGAAAUACAGGUAUUUCAAAAUAUUUGUCUCAAUUAGUUUUACAAUUUCACAGAAAUAUAUGUAUUCAAGAAUAUUGAAACAAAAUGAUUUAAUUAUUUUCCUACUUUGCUUUGAUCAACAAAGAGAAUUGUUUUGUUUUGUAUGUUUGUUAAGAAUAUUUUGGAUGAAAAUGUAUUGAUACAAAUAUAAUAAUUAUCUGAUGUGUGUUUAUGUAUUUUUUACAUAUCAAGAGAUAUGUAAAUUUCUCUGCUUGGAACUUGCCAAACUUGUAUAGCUGGAUAAAGGGAGGUAACUGUAAGGGUGAAAGAGAGAUAAAAGUCGUGUCAAACUUGUACAUCAGCGGGUAAAAAUGGGAAUCAGUUCAGGCUAUAGAAGGGAGGCAAGUGAGAGGGAGGGUGAUGAUUAACUGUCAAAGCUUUGCCAAGCUUGUAUAUCAGCAAUGCAAACGGGAAGCUGUAAAACUGAUAAAAGGGAGACAAUUGAGAGGGAGGAAGGGAUAUAACUAGCAAAGCCUUGUUAAACAUGUUCAAUAGCAAUACAAAUGAGAAGCUGUAAAGCUGGUAGCAGGGAGGCAACUGAGAUAAAAGGGAGGCAACUGAGAUAAAAGGGAGGCAACUGAGAUAGAAGGGAGGCAACUGAGAUAGAAGGGAGGCAACUGAGAUAGCAGGGAGGCAACUGAGAUAGAAGGGAGGCAACUGAGAUAGCAGGGAGGCAACUGAGAUAGCAGGGAGGCAACUGAGAUAAAAGGGAGGCAACUGAGAUAGCAGGGAGGCAACUGAGAUAAAAGGGAGGCAACUGAGAUAAAAGGGAGGCAACUGAGAUAGAAGGGAGGCAAUCGAGAGUGAGAAAGGGUGAUUAUUCACUGUCAAAGCCUUGCCGUUCAGCAACAGGUACAAAUCUGAAGUUGUAUUGUUGAAUAGAAUGAAGGCAACUGUAAGGAUGAAAGGGAAUAAACUGUAAAUGUCUGAACGCCAUACCAAAUUUGUAUAUCAACAGAUACAAAUGGGAAUCUGUGUAGCUGAUGGAAGGGAGAUAACUAAUGCUAUAAAAGCAGGGUUAGAUAGAAUAAAGAUCAUUUAAAGUACCUAGCUAUACAAACAUUGAUGAAAGCACUAUAGGGAUCAGAUUUUGUACUUUUCAUUCCUUCAAUUAACUGAUUCCAUCAAUUUAAAGUAGGACCACAUGGCUGGAUAAUUUUGAAUAGUAACGAUAGUAUUAGCAUACGUUAGUGCAUAUAUAUUACUGUUCUUUAGAUACUUAUAUUAAGUUGUCUUGUUACUGUACAUGAAACUGUAAAAAUAGCUAAUAAUAUUAAGUUGUCUCAUUACUGUACAUGAAACUGAAGUUAGCUUUCAAAACAUGGUAGCCAGAUUCAUUAGAUAUAAUUUGUGGACAAUUUUGUAACUUAAUUUAAUACCAAUAAUUGUGAUUCAAAAUUUAUGUUACAUUUCUAUCUGAUGAAAUAAAAUCCGAUUAAAUUUAA
This is a long non-coding RNA of Pecten maximus, 3993 nucleotides long. RefSeq lists it as uncharacterized. The record is from RefSeq and is a predicted model, not a curated record. NCBI's taxonomy places the organism in Eukaryota, Metazoa, Mollusca, Bivalvia, Pectinida, Pectinidae. The transcript is spliced from 2 exons.